ACAUAAGUUCAUGGAAUGCAUCAAAACUUUAUUUUUCAACUUUCACAAACUCCACCGUUAAUUCCAUCAUAACUUCUUGUUUUUUUUCUUCUUUUACGGAAAAAAAAACCCAGACUUGGUUGUGGUCCGACUGGUUCAUGGAUAUUGAUCCCUUCUGGGUUACUACUGGGGGGUCAGGGUGGUUUCCAAUUUCUCACUACAAUUUCAUUUCAUGGCGAUGCCUCACAAAUCAAUCUCUGAAAACUCAACUUCCAUAAUAUUGUCUUCACAAUCAUAUGCCCUACUACGGCUUUUCGUUCUCCUCCUCCUCAUUUCUCCUCUCUUUGCUCGUCCCAUCUAUUCCUCUUCCUCUACUACGAGAAAUUUGCACCCAUUCUCGACUUCUUCCACGUCGAUCCCAGCAGCUCAAAGCCCCGGAAAAAAUGGUGCUACAGAUGGACGGUUUGAAGCAGAUGUUCAUGAAGUGCCUAGUGGGCCCAAUCCUGAAUCCAACAAUUUUCACUUUCUCUUGAUGUGCCCGGACUGUUAGUUACAUGCAUGCAGAUAUUGAAGGAAUAUAUACUAUAUUUGUGUGUGUACUGUGUAAGCCAUUCUUCCAAAGGCAUAAAAAAUAUGUCAUACUAUGUUUGUUUGGUUUUAUGAAGUUCUUCACUCCUAGAGAGAUAUCCUUCAGUGCUGAUUUAUGUACCAUUAGGUGCAGAAAUGUGAUUUCCCAUAUAUCCUUCAGUAAGAAUCAUCCGACAUAUUGUGUGUUUAA
This is a long non-coding RNA of Gossypium raimondii (Peruvian cotton), 757 nucleotides long. RefSeq lists it as uncharacterized. The transcript is spliced from 2 exons. The record is from RefSeq and is a predicted model, not a curated record. NCBI's taxonomy places the organism in Eukaryota, Viridiplantae, Streptophyta, Magnoliopsida, Malvales, Malvaceae.